This 656-nucleotide ribosomal RNA is filed under the name uncultured bacterium. RNAcentral's name for it is "bacterial SSU rRNA". The stretch from base 1 to 548 matches the Rfam family "Bacterial small subunit ribosomal RNA", at positions 338 to 873 of the family's 1533-position model. The record is from RNAcentral.
CCUACGGGAGGCAGCAGUGGGGAAUAUUGGACAAUGGGCGCAAGCCUGAUCCAGCAAUGCCGCGUGUGUGAAGAAGGCCUUCGGGUUGUAAAGCACUUUUAUCAGGAGCGAAAUCUGCAGGGCUAAUACCCCAUGCAGUCUGACGGUACCUGAGGAAUAAGCACCGGCUAACUCCGUGCCAGCAGCCGCGGUAAUACGGAGGGUGCAAGCGUUAAUCGGAAUUACUGGGCGUAAAGCGUGCGUAGGCGGUUCGUUAAGUCUGUUGUGAAAGCCCCGGGCUCAACCUGGGAAUGGCAAUGGAUACUGGCGAGCUAGAGUGUGUCAGAGGAUGGUGGAAUUCCCGGUGUAGCGGUGAAAUGCGUAGAGAUCGGGAGGAACAUCAGUGGCGAAGGCGGCCAUCUGGGACAACACUGACGCUGAGGCACGAAAGCGUGGGGAGCAAGCAGGAUUAGAUACCCUGGUAGUCCACGCCCUAAACGAUGCGAACUGGAUGUUGGUCUCAACUCGGAGAUCGNGUGCGAGAACGUACGUACGUUAGUUCGUCCGCCGUUGGGUAGGUUAGUUGGUUCGGCGAGACGUUAGAACGUUAACGAAGGUUAGUUAGGACGGCGGAGGAGACGCGGACGGACGGACGACGACGGACGGGAAGGUUAAGG